RNAcentral lists this ribosomal RNA (177 nucleotides) under uncultured Gammaproteobacteria bacterium. Its description in RNAcentral is "partial 16S ribosomal RNA". It matches the Rfam family "Bacterial small subunit ribosomal RNA", at positions 335 to 504 of the family's 1533-position model. The record is from RNAcentral. Lineage: Bacteria; Pseudomonadati; Pseudomonadota; Gammaproteobacteria.
ACUCCUACGGGAGGCAGCAGUGGGGAAUAUUGCACAAUGGGGGAAACCCUGAUGCAGCCAUGCCGCGUGUAUGAAGAAGGCCUUCGGGUUGUAAAGUACUUUCAGUCGUGAGGAAGAUUAUACAGUUAAUAGCUGUGUGAUUUGACGUUAGCGACAGAAGAAGCACCGGCUAACUCC